Molecule: non-coding RNA, 149 nt
Organism: Pelobates cultripes (western spadefoot toad)
Lineage: Eukaryota; Metazoa; Chordata; Amphibia; Anura; Pelobatidae
Source: the annotation of a GenBank genome assembly
AUGCCUUAAACUAAUGAGUAAGGAAAAUAACGAGCCGGGGUAACGCCUGGUUCCUCACUACUCAUGUGAGAAGAAUUUUUGAACGGGUACAGGUCGGCUGUUGGAGGACCCAUCUACUUAGUGGGACCUUUAUGUGGUUGAUCUGCCCG